GACGAACGCUGGCGGCGCGCUUAACACAUGCAAGUCGAGCGAUGAAACUUGAACAGAACUCUUCGGGGCGGAGAUAAAGUGGGUUAGCGGCGGAGGGGUGAGUAACACGUGAGUAACCAGCCUUAGAAUUUGGGAGAGCAACGGGAAACCAGGAUUAAUACCAAAUAAAAUCGUAAUGACACAUGUAAAAACGAUCAAAACUCCGGGGGUCUAAGAUGGACUUGCGUCCGAUUAGCUAGUUGGUAGGGUAAAAGCCUACCAAGGCGGAGAGGGGGAGCCGGACUGUGAGGCUGAACGGCCACAUUGGAACCGAGAGACGGUACAAGUGCCUACGGGAGGACGCAGUGGGGAAUAUUGCACAAUGGGCGGAACGCUGAUGCUGCGACGCCGCGUGAACGAAGCAGGCUUUCGAGGCGUAAAGUUCUUUUAUAUGGGAAGAUAAUGACGGUACCAUAAGAAAAAGCCCCGGCUAACUACGUG
This 480-nucleotide ribosomal RNA is filed under the name uncultured bacterium. Its description in RNAcentral is "partial 16S ribosomal RNA". It matches the Rfam family "Bacterial small subunit ribosomal RNA", at positions 28 to 507 of the family's 1533-position model. The record is from RNAcentral.